RNAcentral lists this ribosomal RNA (110 nucleotides) under Escherichia coli. RNAcentral also lists the same sequence under 1 other name. The record is from RNAcentral. Lineage: Bacteria; Pseudomonadati; Pseudomonadota; Gammaproteobacteria; Enterobacterales; Enterobacteriaceae.
GGCGGCAGUAGCGCGGUGGUCCCACCUGACCCCAUGCCGAACUCAGAAGUGAAACGCCGUAGCGCCGAUGGUAGUGUGGGGUCUCCCCAUGCGAGAGUAGGGAACUGCCA